Molecule: RNA transcript, 4117 nt
Organism: Arachis stenosperma
Lineage: Eukaryota; Viridiplantae; Streptophyta; Magnoliopsida; Fabales; Fabaceae
Gene name: calmodulin binding protein PICBP-like
Exons: 6
Source: RefSeq, a predicted model, not a curated record
CAAUGUCCCCAUUUCACUGAUUUUUUUUAAUUAAAGAAAAAAAAUCUUUUGACAAUUUCAAUUCCAAUUCCUAGACGUAAAUCUCAAGAGCCAUAGCUUUUUUUUUUAUAAGAUAUAUAAUUUUUUUAAUUCCUCCAUUAAUUUUAAUAUCAAAGUGCAACUAAGAAAACUGGUACACAGCUGUACAACAAAGAACAAAGUACACUACACACACUUCUCUGGAGCAUUUUCACGAAUAGUUCUGCAGAAUGAUCAAUCUAGAGGUUGAAUCUAAAAGUGUGCCUGAAACGGAGGACUCUCUUUCGUUUCAGCAUAAAAGCAUAGGAAGGUUGGGAUCAGUGAAGAAACUGAAGAAAAUGAGAUCAAUAAGGUUUCCCAGAUUUUCAAGCAUGAGAUCAACCAAUAGAAGAGGGAAAUCCAAGCAUGAGAAUCUUUCCAUUCUCUCAUCUUUUGCCACAGAAAGUUCAGAAAUGCCAACAACCCCAAUUGAGAUGUCAGAUUCGUCACCUCAUUACAUGAAGGGUACAAGUAGCUCUCAUGCAAAGGAGAGCUUUCAGAAUACACAAAUGCUAUUCACAACUGUGAAACUGAAGAGGAGUCUGAGCAGAAAGAUAUCCGGAAGGAAUGAUGUGAGGAGGAAACUCAAGUCAUCAAGAUCAAUCAAGAUUGGAACUCUGAAUGGCCAAAAAUCAACAAGAAAAGUAUCUGAAUCCAUUUGUGGCAGUGAUGAUACACAAUCUUAUGAUGGUGGUAACAAACCCCAGAGAGUUCUUACAAGAAGAUUGAGCUUGAAGCCUGUGAGGAUCCUAGCAAAGAUGCCUACUUCCAAAUCAAGGAAAGCUUCCAUGGACAAAGGCCAUCAUCACAUCUCUCUCUCCACAGAAUCAAGCUUGCAUAGAGCCACCUGUUCUUCAGCUCUCAAGGAUUCCCAUUUCUCUGAUCACAAUGAAUUGUCACUUGACGAAAAUGGUUCUCAAGAAGUAUCAGCAGUCAAGGUUUGUCCAUACACUUACUGUUCCCUUCACGGUCGUCGGCACAAGGAUUUGCCUCCAUUGAAACGCUUUAUGUCGAUGAGGAGGCGUCAGUUGAAGGCCCAAAGGAGCAUGAAAAUGGAUGGUAGAGCUGCUACCAGGUCAAACAAGCCUGGUAAUUCAAGGAAAGUUGCUCAGAAAACCGGAAUUAUUAACACUGAAAGUGGCAUAUCUAACAUUCAGAAUGGGAAAAGGAAGGUAAAGGACUCAAGUAUUAGGGCUGUUGACAAUGAAGAUUCCACAUUUGGUGAAGGUGGCAGUUCUAUGGGAGAGGAUGAAGAAAAUAACAACUUUAGGUAUGAUGCCUUUGAGAAAUCAACAUUAGUUGAUGUGGUUAAGCCUUCUUCUUUUGAUAUUGAGAUAUUGGAGGGAGAAGUAGCCACCAGUGGUGAAGAAAAAGGAGAUAAUGAAGUAAUGCAGGUGUGUUCUUUGCAGAAAGAAGCUAAGCCUGCUUACAGAAUACAGGAAGGGAAUGAUAGAUAUAUGAAAAUGUGGCACUUAGUGUAUAAGCAUGCCAUGUUAGGUAACCCAGAGAGGGAAGAAAAGCAUCCAAAUGAUGGGAAUGAUAAGAAAGGAGAAGGGAAAGGAGCUCACUCAUUUGAUGUAGUAAACAGCUCUUCCAUUCAGGAUCAGUGCGAAAGGGACCAGGCUGUGUAUGAUGAAAAUAAGAGUGUGAUUGACUUGGUCCAGAAAGCAUUUGAUGAAAUUCUUCUUCCGGAAACAGAAGACCUUGCUUCUGAUGAUGGUUCUAAGUCUAGAGGCUCCGGCCCCGAUGAGGAGCUCUUAGAAAAGAAUGAAGAUAAAACUGGGGAAGGAAGUGUCUCUGUAUCUGAAGAAUCUUCCAAAGAAGAUACAUUGCCGAAAGACGAAAACUUGAGCAGUCAAGCAGAAGAGAUAACAGGGCAAGGAAUGGGAUCCAAACCUGACCAGAAAACACCGAAGAGCUGGAGCAAUCUGAAGAAGCUAAUCCUGUUGAGAAGGUUUGUGAAGGCACUGGACAAGGUGAGAAAGUUAAAGUUUAGGCGACCGAGACAUUUGCCAUUAGAUUCUGAGUUUGAAGCAGAAAAAGUUUUUCUCAAGCGCCAAACAGCUGAAGAGAAACAAAGUGCUGAUGAAUGGAUGCUUGAUUAUGCACUUCAGAAGGUCAUUUCUAAACUAGAACCAGCUCAAAGGCAAAGAGUUUCACUUCUAGUAGAAGCUUUUGAAACAAUUCUUCCAUUUCAAGAUGCUCAAAAUACCCCAUUGUCUUCUGCAACAAUUGAGAAUCGAGCCAAUCCAGUUCGGUCCCUUGAUGACUCCUCGAAUCACAGCAAGAAAGAAACAGAAAAAGAUAAUGCUUGUUAUAAUACAAUGCCUGAACUGCACAAUUCUGUUGUGCUUAAAGAAAGAUGUCUUGAAAAUCUUGGGACCAAGGCAGUUGAGACUAUUUCUGCAUCUGGAACUGUCAAAGAAAAAUCAAAUGCCACACACAGUAUAGCCAGCAGUUAUGAUAAUGGGGAGAAGGCAUUAACUGGAAAUGAUAAUAUUCAUCAUGAGGAGGCUCCAUUCAGUGGGAUACUCAGUGAAGUUCCAGAAGACUCAGUACUGGAUUCAAACAAAAGAAAUCCAACAAGCCAAUCUGGCUCACCCCAACGAGAUUUUGAAACCAAGAUUGAUGCCAAUACAGAACAAUUUUCUAAUUCGAAAAGUUUUAUACUAAAAGGUCUUGUCAGGACACUUGGAACUAAUUUGGUUGGUUCAGGAGAACCUUCAGACCAACUAGGCGAACCAAAAACUGACACAGAAGGAAGGACAGAGAAAGCUAAUAUCCCUAUGCAUGAGCAAUCUGAAGAUCCUAAUAAUGCUAAUGUAGAAUCUGAGACUCAGCCAGAGAAGCAGAACUACACAGGACUAUGGUACUUGGUGUAUAAGCACAUGGUAUCCGGUUCAGGAGAAAAUGAUUCCAAGUUAGUAAUUGAUGGAGCAGAUGGGAAAGAAUCUGAGUAUGAAGGUAGCAGAUCAAGAGACACCUCAGUUUCAUGUGAAAGUACACCAAUGAUGAAUCAAGGUAUGGACAUGAAGGAUCAUGGUCUAGCUGACCAAGAAGUUGAACGCCAACAGCUUGAAGCCAUCAAGAUGGUAGAAGAAGCAAUUGAUUCAAUCAUCCCGGAUGAUCUUGAACAUACACCAGACAGACAAUUGAUGACUGAAAACACAAUUUCAGUCGACGGCUCCAAACAAUCCAAUGGUGCUGAAAGAGUGUUCAGCAAAGACAACCAAGAGGAACCAAGGAUGGCAUUUGGAAAUACAAUAACUGAAAAACGCGAAAAGGAAGAUCAAACAGAAUCAAAGGAAGGAAACAACCCGGACAGGAAAUUACCUAGAAGCUGGAGCAAUCUUAAAAAGGUGAUCCUGCUUAGGAGAUUCAUCAAGUCAUUGGAAAAAGUGAGAAAAUUCAACCCAAGAGGGCCUAAAUAUCUGCCAAUAGAGCUUGAUCCAGAAGCAGAAAAGGUUAACUUAAGGCAUCUAGACAUGGCAGGAAGGAAAGGCACAGAAGAAUGGAUGCUUGAUUAUGCGCUUAGACAGGUUGUUUCGCAACUAACCCCAGCUCGGAAAAGAAAGGUGGGGCUGCUAGUAGAAGCUUUUGAAACAGUCAUGCCAACCAUGAAAAACUAAAGCUGGUCAAAUAGCAUAAUAGCUUUGUAUGCAAAGUAGAUUCAAGCUAAUUAAACAAGCUGAAAGCUUAAAACGUUUUACACAGUCGUGCAAUUACAUCUGUUCUUUUGGAUGACCAUUCACGCGGUCAAUGUGAAAGGUCAAAAAGAAGAUCUAUUUGAUCAUAAUCCUCUGGGAUGAGUCUGCAUAUUGUUGGUUUUCCAGAACAUUGUGUGAGUAGCACUGUUUGAUUGAUCCUUUAAAUUUUACUUCUUUCCCUUGUUUUCCAUCCACGGUGUUAGCACUUAGCAGAUGCAUGUAUCCUAUUUAGAGACCUUUGCAUUACAAAUACCAUGGACAAUUUCAAAUGUAUAAUAAUAUAUAGAUAUAUACAUUUUAUUUUAAUUUUAAUGUAUCCUAUUUAGCCUGAUUUGUGUCAUACACAUUUAUUU